UAGGGAAUAUUGGUCAAUGGGCGCAAGCCUGAACCAGCCAUGCCGCGUGCAGGAAGAAUGCCCUCUGGGUUGUAAACUGCUUUUGACAGGGAAGAAAUCACUUAUGCGUAAGUGUCUGACGGUACCUGUAGAAUAAGCACCGGCUAACUCCGUGCCAGCAGCCGCGGUAAUACGGAGGGUGCAAGCGUUAUCCGGAUUUAUUGGGUUUAAAGGGUGCGUAGGCGGUAGAGUAAGUCAGUGGUGAAAGCCUGUUGCCUAACAACAGAACUGCCAUUGAUACUGCUUUGCUUGAGUAUAGAUGAGGUAGGCGGAAUUAAUAGUGUAGCGGUGAAAUGCUUAGAUAUUAUUAAGAACUCCGAUAGCGAAGGCAGCUUACUAAACUAUAACUGACGCUGAGGCACGAAAGUGUGGGGAUCAAACAGG
Molecule: ribosomal RNA, 423 nt
Filed under: uncultured bacterium
Lineage: Bacteria
Description: bacterial SSU rRNA
Rfam family: Bacterial small subunit ribosomal RNA
Source: RNAcentral